UUUAAUGUCUUAGCAAUGAAAGGAUGCCACAUCCUUUGAUGUAAACAAUAGUAAAAUGUUUUUGUAUUUUUAUAGACACCCCAAAAGUCAAACUGAAAAAAUGAUGAGGCAGGCUUGUCCAUUUUGCCAAAAUUCUAUUCUAACUCAAAAUGCUUCUGAAUUGUAUCCCGAUGAUCAACCUAGCAACUAAACCCUAUACGGUCAAUUCCUUAACUUGUUUGCAAGUUUCUUUUAAAGUAAUUAAUUUUCUUCCAAAAUUGGAUUCGUCAGUUCGACAUAAUAAAAAACUUCUUUGUUGUUUUUGUUUACCCAAUUCCUCCCCAUCCAUAGAAAGAUUGCAGUGUUAAAUCCUCAGCUUGUCGUUCCGAUUCCUCCCCCCUUUGGAAUGGUGACCUGGUCCAGGUGCAGCAAGGUGUCACUCUAACGGCACAAUGAGCUCCGCUCCGACCGUUCAGCAUCCAGCUGACUGGUCCGGGCGUGGCUCUGCUGCUCUUUGUCCCUUCACCAUGACUGAAUACCUUUAAUGCUUCACAUACUUGCUGCUUCUCCUCUUUCAUCCCUUACAGUGGACCCACAAUACGCUGGUUCUCAAUCUGCUCCCUCUAAAUAUGCUCUCCUGACUUGGCUGAAUCGACGUGGAGUAAACAACGUAAUUCUGCCAGGCAACCACAUCCUGUCAGGGUGCAUGAGUUCAACCUCUCCAAGUUGUGCGGUUUGCUUUAUCCUGAUUCCUUUCAGCCAUCAGUUCUUCAUUAUUCUCAAGGGCUUUAAAAAAUAUUUGGAAGUGUUUAGUAUUGGGGCUGAGAUGAGUGUGUUGGUCAACAUGGAUGAUUGUGUGAUUGACAGUUUAUGUCUGAGAUGUAUGCCGACACCCACGCACAAUGACUGAGUAGAAAUAUAUGGUAAUACACCAAGGAACUAUGAGACAGAGCUGAUCUAGCAUGGUGAUGUACCUUAAUACCUCCUCAUGAGAUACUUUUGUCAGACCUCUGGUCAGCAAGGUGUGUGAUAUUGUUACAGAGAACAAAGAUGUGGACGGAGAUGUGAACCGAACCUUCCAUCCUUCUGAUAAGGUGUGAAGAACCGUUUAAAGACAUCAAAGUUCUUUCUUUUCAAUGGUGCUAUGAAUCUGUGUGAUAUCUUUGUUUUGAUGUUUAAACAAGUUAAUAAUUCAUGACUU
Gasterosteus aculeatus aculeatus (three-spined stickleback) is the source of this 1180-nucleotide long non-coding RNA. The record is from Ensembl. Lineage: Eukaryota; Metazoa; Chordata; Actinopteri; Perciformes; Gasterosteidae.